AGGGGCCCACUGGAGGUGUUACCUUCUCUUGCUUUUCUCCAGUCAGUAACACGGGGACUUAGGAAGUAGGAGCUAAGCUUACCAGCAUUGGUCAGAUCCACUACAUUUUCCUUCGGUAUUCCAUACUUUUGGCAAAGUUCCUCAAACCUUUUCUUGAUUUGUGGAUUCACAUCUGGGUUUCUGGCUGUGGGAAGAGUGACAUUACUGGGGUUUUUUUA
This is a long non-coding RNA of Phyllostomus discolor (pale spear-nosed bat), 218 nucleotides long. RefSeq lists it as uncharacterized. The record is from RefSeq and is a predicted model, not a curated record. The transcript is spliced from 4 exons. Lineage: Eukaryota; Metazoa; Chordata; Mammalia; Chiroptera; Phyllostomidae.